GAUGAACGCUGGCGGCGUGCCUAAUACAUGCAAGUCGAGCGAACAGAUGAGGAGCUUGCUCCUCUGACGUUAGCGGCGGACGGGUGAGUAACACGUGGAUAACCUACCUAUAAGACUGGGAUAACUUCGGGAAACCGGAGCUAAUACCGGAUAAUAUAUUGAACCGCAUGGUUCAAUAGUGAAAGACGGUUUUGCUGUCACUUAUAGAUGGAUCCGCGCCGCAUUAGCUAGUUGGUAAGGUAACGGCUUACCAAGGCAACGAUGCGUAGCCGACCUGAGAGGGGAUCCGCCCACCCUGAACCUGAGACACGGCCCGACUCCCUAGGGGAGGCAGCAGAGGGAAAUCUCCGGAAUUGGGCGAAGCCUUACCGAGGAAACGCGCGGGAGGUGAUGAAGUCUUUCGAACCUUAAACCUUGUUAUUAGGGAAGAACAAAUGUGUAAGUAACUAUGCACGUCUUGACGGUACCUAAUCAGAAAGCCACGGCUAACUACGUG
RNAcentral lists this ribosomal RNA (496 nucleotides) under uncultured bacterium. RNAcentral's name for it is "partial 16S ribosomal RNA". It matches the Rfam family "Bacterial small subunit ribosomal RNA", at positions 28 to 507 of the family's 1533-position model. The record is from RNAcentral.